AGUGAACGCUGGCGGUAGGCCUAACACAUGCAAGUCGAACGGCAGCACAGUAAGAGCUUGCUCUUACGGGUGGCGAGUGGCGGACGGGUGAGGAAUACAUCGGAAUCUACUUUUUCGUGGGGGAUAACGUAGGGAAACUUACGCUAAUACCGCAUACGACCUACGGGUGAAAGCAGGGGAUCUUCGCACCUUGCGCGAUUGAAUGAGCCGAUGCCGGAUUAGCUAGUUGGCGGGGUAAAGGCCCACCAAGGCGACGAUCCGUAGCUGGUCUGAGAGGAUGAUCAGCCACACUGGAACUGAGACACGGUCCAGACUCCUACGGGAGGCAGCAGUGGGGAAUAUUGGACAAUGGGCGCAAGCCUGAUCCAGCCAUACCGCGUGGGUGAAGAAGGCCUUCGGGUUGUAAAGCCCUUUUGUUGGGAAAGAAAAGCAGCAGGUUAAUACCCCGCUGUUCUGACGGUACCCAAAGAAUAAGCACCGGCUAACUUCGUG
This 492-nucleotide ribosomal RNA is filed under the name uncultured bacterium. Its description in RNAcentral is "partial 16S ribosomal RNA". It matches the Rfam family "Bacterial small subunit ribosomal RNA", at positions 29 to 507 of the family's 1533-position model. The record is from RNAcentral.